Molecule: ribosomal RNA, 426 nt
Filed under: uncultured Hyphomicrobiales bacterium
Lineage: Bacteria; Pseudomonadati; Pseudomonadota; Alphaproteobacteria; Hyphomicrobiales
Description: bacterial SSU rRNA
Rfam family: Bacterial small subunit ribosomal RNA
Source: RNAcentral
GGGGAAUUUUGGACAAUGGGGGCAACCCUGAUCCAGCCAUGCCGCGUGAGUGAAGAAGGCCUUCGAGUUGUAAAGCUCUUUCGGCCGGGAAGAAAUCGUGCAGGCUAAUACCCUGUAUGGAUGACGGUACCGGAAUAAGAAGCACCGGCUAACUACGUGCCAGCAGCCGCGGUAAUACGAAGGGGGCUAGCGUUGCUCGGAAUCACUGGGCGUAAAGCGCACGUAGGCGGAUCGUUAAGUCAGGGGUGAAAUCCUGGGGCUCAACCUCAGAACUGCCCUUGAUACUGGCGAUCUCGAGUUCGAGAGAGGUUGGUGGAACUCCGAGUGUAGGGGUGAAAUUCGUAGAUAUUCGGAAGAACACCAGUGGCGAAGGCGGCCAACUGGCUCGAUACUGACGCUGAGGUGCGAAAGCGUGGGGAGCAAACA